AUUACCUGGGGAUCUUGUUAAAUCAUAUUCUGAUUCAGUAGGUGUGGGCUAGGGCCUAAGAUUCUGAAUUUCUAACAAGCUCUCGGGUGAUG
RNAcentral lists this microRNA precursor (92 nucleotides) under Pteropus vampyrus (large flying fox). RNAcentral describes it as "miRNA (ENSPVAG00000029529.1)". The record is from RNAcentral. Lineage: Eukaryota; Metazoa; Chordata; Mammalia; Chiroptera; Pteropodidae.